This 883-nucleotide ribosomal RNA is filed under the name uncultured bacterium. Its description in RNAcentral is "bacterial SSU rRNA". It matches the Rfam family "Bacterial small subunit ribosomal RNA", at positions 28 to 896 of the family's 1533-position model. The record is from RNAcentral.
GACGAACGCUGGMKGCGKKSCUAUACAUGCAGUCGAGCGGAGCACUUCGGUGCUUAGCGGCGGACGGGUGAGUAACACGUAGGCAACCUGCCUGUAAGACCGGGAUAACUACCGGAAACGGUAGCUAAGACCGGAUAACCGGUUUCUCCGCAUGGAGGGAUCGUGAAACACGGUUCCGAAUUAAUUUCGAGGGCUGUGGCUUACGGAUGGGCCUGCGGCGCAUUAGCUAGUUGGUGGGGUAACGGCCUACCAAGGCGACGAUGCGUAGCCGACCUGAGAGGGUGAACGACCACACUGGGACUGAGACACGGCCCAGACUCCUACGGGAGGCAGCAGUAGGGAAUCUUCCACAAUGAGCGCAAGCCUGAUGGAGCAACGCCGCGUGAGUGAGGAAGGCUUUCGGGUCGUAAAGCUCUGUUGCCAGGGAAGAAUAAGGGUGAGUUCACUGUUCAUCCGAUGACGGUACCUGAGAAGAAAGCCCCGGCUAACUACGUGCCAGCAGCCGCGGUAAUACGUAGGGGGCAAGCGUUGUCCGGAAUUAUUGGGCGUAAAGCGCGCGCAGGCGGUUCUUUAAGUCUGGUGUAUAAGUGCGGGGCUCAACCCCGUGAGGCACUGGAAACUGGGGAACUUGAGUGCAGAAGAGGAGAGCGGAAUUCCACGUGUAGCGGUGAAAUGCGUAGAGAUGUGGAGGAACACCAGUGGCGAAGGCGGCUCUCUGGACUGUAACUGACGCUGAGGCGCGAAAGCGUGGGGAACAAACAGGAUUAGAUACCCUGGUAGUCCACGCCGUAAACGAUGAGUGCUAGGUGUUGGGGGCAUCAUGCCCUCGGUGCCGAAGUUAACACAUUAAGCACUCCGCCUGGGKAGUACGGUCGCAAGACUG